CCUACGGGUGGCAGCAGUGGGGAAUAUUGGACAAUGGGGGCAACCCUGAUCCAGCCAUGCCGCGUGUGUGAAGAAGGCCCUCGGGUUGUAAAGCACUUUCAGUGAGGAAGAACGCCUGGUGGUUAAUACCCAUCAGGAAAGACAUCACUCACAGAAGAAGCACCCGCUAACUCCGUGCCAGCAGCCGCGGUAAUACGGAGGGUGUGAGCGUUAAUCGGAAUUACUGGGCGUAAAGCGCGCGUAGGUGGCUUGAUAAGCCGGUUGUGAAAGCCCCGGGCUCAACCUGGGAACGGCAUCCGGAACUGUCAAGCUAGAGUGCAGGAGAGGAAGGUAGAAUUCCCGGUGUAGCGGUGAAAUGCGUAGAGAUCGGGAGGAAUACCAGUGGCGAAGGCGGCCUUCUGGACUGACACUGACACUGAGGUGCGAAAGCGUGGGUAGCAAACAGGAUUAGAUACCCGAGUAGUC
Molecule: ribosomal RNA, 465 nt
Filed under: Vreelandella stevensii
Lineage: Bacteria; Pseudomonadati; Pseudomonadota; Gammaproteobacteria; Oceanospirillales; Halomonadaceae
Description: partial 16S ribosomal RNA
Rfam family: Bacterial small subunit ribosomal RNA
Source: RNAcentral